This 429-nucleotide ribosomal RNA is filed under the name Chloroflexota bacterium. RNAcentral describes it as "Chloroflexi bacterium partial 16S ribosomal RNA". It matches the Rfam family "Bacterial small subunit ribosomal RNA", at positions 355 to 776 of the family's 1533-position model. The record is from RNAcentral. Lineage: Bacteria; Bacillati; Chloroflexota.
UGGGGAAUAUUGCACAAUGGGCGCAAGCCUGAUGCAGCCAUGCCGCGUGUAUGAAGAAGGCCUUCGGGUUGUAAAGUACUUUCAGCGGGGAGGAAGGGAGUAAAGUUAAUACCUUUGCUCAUUGACGUUACCCGCAGAAGAAGCACCGGCUAACUCCGUGCCAGCAGCCGCGGUAAUACGGAGGGUGCAAGCGUUAAUCGGAAUUACUGGGCGUAAAGCGCACGCAGGCGGUUUGUUAAGUCAGAUGUGAAAUCCCCGGGCUCAACCUGGUAACUGCAUCUGAUACUGGCAAGCUUGAGUCUCGUAGAGGGGGGUAGAAUUCCAGGUGUAGCGGUGAAAUACGUAGAGAACUGGAGGAAUACCGGUGGCGAAGGCGGCCCCCUGGACGAAAACUGACGCUCAGGUGCGAAAGCGUGGGGAGCAAACAGG